This 441-nucleotide ribosomal RNA is filed under the name uncultured bacterium. RNAcentral describes it as "partial 16S ribosomal RNA". It matches the Rfam family "Bacterial small subunit ribosomal RNA", at positions 338 to 795 of the family's 1533-position model. The record is from RNAcentral.
CCUACGGGGGGCUGCAGUGGGGGAUAUUGCACAAUGGGGGAAACCCUGAUGCAGCGACGCCGCGUGAGUGAAGAAGUAUUUCGGUAUGUAAAGCACUAUCAGCAGGGAAGAAAAAAGACGGUACCUGACUAAGACGCACCGGCUAACUACGUGCCAGCAGCCGCGGUAAUACGUAGGGGGCAAGCGUUAUCCGGAUUGACUGGGUGUAAAGGGAACGUAGACGGCAAUACAAGUCGGAAGUGAAAUACCCGGGCUCAACCUGGGAACUGCAUUGGAAACUGGAUGGCUAGAGUGCUGUAGAGGUAAGCGGAAUUCCUGGUGUAGCGGUGAAAUGCGUAGAUAUUAGGAGGAACACCAGUGGCGAAGGCGGCUUACUGGACAGAAACUGACGUUGAGGCUCGAAAGCGUGGGGAGCAAACAGGAUUAGAUACCCGGGUAGUC